Molecule: ribosomal RNA, 581 nt
Filed under: uncultured bacterium
Lineage: Bacteria
Description: bacterial SSU rRNA
Rfam family: Bacterial small subunit ribosomal RNA
Source: RNAcentral
CCCCACCGAUGGGACUGCGAUACGGCCCAUACUCCUACGGGAGGCUGCAGACGAGAAUAUUCCGCAAUGGACGCAAGUCUGACGGAGCGACGCCGCGUGAUGGAUGAAGUGCUUUGGUAUGUAAACAUCUUUUAUCGGGGACGAAGUUUAUUGACGGUACCCGAUGAAUAAGGGGCUCCUAACUCUGUGCCAGCAGGAGCGGUAAUACAGAGGCCCCAAGCAUUACCCGGAAUCACUGGGCGUAAAGGGUGUCUAGGCGGCCAUAUUAGUCUUGCGUUAAAUCCGUGGGCUCAACCUGCGGUCUGCGUGAGAAACGGUAUGGCUCGAGGGCGUGAGAGGUGCACGGAACUCAUGGUGGAGGGGUGAAAUCCGUUGAUAUCAUGGGGAACACCAAAGGCGAAGGCAGUGCACUGGUACGUUCCUGACGCUCAAACACGAAAGCCAGGGUAGCGAACGGGAUUAGAUACCCCGGUAGUCCUGGCCCUCAACGUUGCUCGCUCGCUUUACGGAGUAUCGACCCUCUGUGAGGCUAAGCUAACGCGGUAAGCGAGCCGCCUGGGUAGUACGAUCGCAAGAUUAAA